GAUGAACGCUGGCGGCGUGCCUAAUACAUGCAAGUCGAGCGAACGGACGAGAAGCUUGCUUCUCUGAUGUUAGCGGCGGACGGGUGAGUAACACGUGGAUAACCUACCUAUAAGACUGGGAUAACUUCGGGAAACCGGAGCUAAUACCGGAUAAUAUUUUGAACCGCAUGGUUCAAAAGUAAAAGACGGUCUUGCUGUCACUUAUAGAUGGAUCCGCGCUGCAUUAGCUAGUUGGUAAGGUAACGGCUUACCAAGGCAACGAUGCAUAGCCGACCUGAGAGGGUGAUCGGCCACACUGGAACUGAGACACGGUCCAGACUCCUACGGGAGGCAGCAGUAGGGAAUCUUCCGCAAUGGGCGAAAGCCUGACGGAGCAACGCCGCGUGAGUGGUGAAGGUCUUCGGAUCGUAAAACUCUGUUAUUAGGGAAGAACAUAUGUGUAAGUAACUGUGCACAUCUUGACGGUACCUAAUCAGAAAGCCACGGCUAACUACGUG
This 497-nucleotide ribosomal RNA is filed under the name uncultured bacterium. RNAcentral's name for it is "partial 16S ribosomal RNA". It matches the Rfam family "Bacterial small subunit ribosomal RNA", at positions 28 to 507 of the family's 1533-position model. The record is from RNAcentral.